This 456-nucleotide ribosomal RNA is filed under the name uncultured bacterium. RNAcentral describes it as "bacterial SSU rRNA". It matches the Rfam family "Bacterial small subunit ribosomal RNA", at positions 340 to 786 of the family's 1533-position model. The record is from RNAcentral.
UACGGAAGGCAGCAGUGGGGAAUAUUGCACAAUGGGCGCAAGCCUGAUGCAGCCAUGCCGCGUGUAUGAAGAAGGCCUUCGGGUUGUAAAGUACUUUCAGUCGUGAGGAAGGUGUUAAGGUUAAUAACCUUAGCAAUUGACGUUAGCGACAGAAGAAGCACCGGCUAACUCCGUGCCAGCAGCCGCGGUAAUACGGAGGGUGCGAGCGUUAAUCGGAAUUACUGGGCGUAAAGGGCACGCAGGCGGUUAAUUAAGUUGGAUGUGAAAUCCCCGGGCUUAACCUGGGAAUGGCAUUCAAGACUGGUUAGCUAGAGUCUUGUAGAGGGGGUAGAAUUCCAUGUGUAGCGGUGAAAUGCGUAGAGAUGUGGAGGAAUACCGGGUGGGCGAAGGCGGGCCCCUGGGACAAAGACUGACGCUCAUGUGCGAAAGCGUGGGGAGCAAACAGGAUUAGAUACC